UACGGGGGGAGCAAGCGUUGUUCGGAUUUACUGGGCGUAAAGGGCGCGUAGGCGGCGCAACAAGUCACUUGUGUAAUCUCCGGGCUUAACUCGGAAAGGUCAAGUGAUACUGUUGUGCUAGAGUGCGGAAGGGGCAACUGGAAUUCUCGGUGUAGCGGUGAAAUGCGUAGAUAUCGAGAGGAACACCUGCGGCGAAGGCGGGUUGCUGGGCCGACACUGACGCUGAUGCGCGAAAGCCAGGGGAGCGAACGGG
RNAcentral lists this ribosomal RNA (253 nucleotides) under uncultured bacterium. Its description in RNAcentral is "partial 16S ribosomal RNA". It matches the Rfam family "Bacterial small subunit ribosomal RNA", at positions 524 to 776 of the family's 1533-position model. The record is from RNAcentral.